RNAcentral lists this ribosomal RNA (464 nucleotides) under uncultured bacterium. RNAcentral describes it as "partial 16S ribosomal RNA". It matches the Rfam family "Bacterial small subunit ribosomal RNA", at positions 29 to 507 of the family's 1533-position model. The record is from RNAcentral.
ACGAACGCUGGCGGCGUGCUUAACACAUGCAAGUCGAACGGAAAGGCCCUGCUUGCAGGGUACUCGAGUGGCGAACGGGUGAGUAACACGUGGGUGAUCUGCCCUGCACUUCGGGAUAAGCCUGGGAAACUGGGUCUAAUACCGGAUAGGAGCCAUUUUUAGUGUGAUGGUUGGAGAGUUUUUUCGGUGUAGGAUGAGCUCGCGGCCUAUCAGCUUGUUGGUGGGGUAAUGGCCUACCAAGGCGGCGACGGGUAGCCGGCCUGAGAGGGUGGACGGCCACAUUGGGACUGAGAUACGGCCCAGACUCCUACGGGAGGCAGCAGUGGGGAAUAUUGCACAAUGGGCGCAAGCCUGAUGCAGCGACGCCGCGUGGGGGAUGACGGCCUUCGGGUUGUAAACUCCUUUCGCUAGGGACGAAGCUUUUUGUGACGGUACCUAGAUAAGAAGCACCGGCUAACUACGUG